AACCUUUUCUACUGAGGACAUGGUUCUUAUGCUGACAAAGAUGAUGCUUUUAAUUCAAGCAGAAACUGCAGGUUAUUUUAGUUUCUUACCAAUAAGUACUACCGUAUGCAACAAUGCUAUAAGGCAUUCUGUAUUCCGAAUUCUUAUUUCUUUUUUUCCCCUAUUAUCUUAGCACCAUUGACUUUAGUUAUACUGUGGGUCCAGGGUCCUUUGUCGUGGGCAAAUUUCCAACAGAAGUGCAUUUUAAGACAUCUGGUUUCCUCACUCGGGGUCCAACUGACACCUAGCUGCUUUUUGGGAGAAUAUCCUGCACAAUCACAGCUAUUACCUAAAGCACU
RNAcentral lists this long non-coding RNA (338 nucleotides) under Citrus sinensis (sweet orange). Its description in RNAcentral is "long non-coding RNA (CSIN_LNC000402)". Lineage: Eukaryota; Viridiplantae; Streptophyta; Magnoliopsida; Sapindales; Rutaceae. The record is from RNAcentral.